Molecule: ribosomal RNA, 484 nt
Filed under: uncultured bacterium
Lineage: Bacteria
Description: partial 16S ribosomal RNA
Rfam family: Bacterial small subunit ribosomal RNA
Source: RNAcentral
AUUGAACGCUGGCGGCAGGCCUAACACAUGCCAGUCGAGCGGAUGAAGGGAGCUUGCUCCUGGAUUCAGCGGCGGACGGGUGAGUAAUGCCUAGGAAUCUGCCUGGUAGUGGGGGAUAACGUCCGGAAACGGGCGCUAAUACCGCAUACGUCCUGAGGGAGAAAGUGGGGGAUCUUCGGACCUCACGCUAUCAGAUGAGCCUAGGUCGGAUUAGCUAGUUGGUGGGGUAAAGGCCUACCAAGGCGACGAUCCGCAACUGGUCUGAGAGGAUGAUCAGUCACACUGGAACUGAGACACGGUCCAGACUCCUACGGGAGGCAGCAGUGGGGAAUAUUGGACAAUGGGCGAAAGCCUGAUCCAGCCAUGCCGCGUGUGUGAAGAAGGUCUUCGGAUUGUAAAGCACUUUAAGUUGGGAGGAAGGGCAGUAAGUUAAUACCUUGCUGUUUUGACGUUACCAACAGAAUAAGCACCGGCUAACUUCGUG